AGAGUUUGAUCCUGGCUCAGAAUGAACGUUGGCGGCGUGGAUUAGGCAUGCAAGUCGAACGGGUCCGGUCUUCGGAUCGGGCCAGUGGCGCAAGGGUGAGUAAGGCGACGGUAACCAACCCCAUGGUUGGGCAUAGCCGCGGGAAACUGCGGGUAAUUCCCAGCGAUGUUGGCGGGGGGCCAUCCCCCGCCAACCAAAGCUCAGGCGCCGUGGGACGGACCGUCGUGGUAUUAGGUCGUUGGCGGGGUAAUGGCCCACCAGAGCCUCUGAUGCCUACCGGGCGUGCGAGACGCGGCCCGGCACACUGGGACUGAGACACUGCCCAGCACUCCUACGGGGAGGCUGCAGUCGAGAAUCUUCGGCAAUGGGCGCGAAGGCCUGACCGAGCGACGCCGCGUGGAUGAUGAGCGCCUGCGGGUCGUAGCUCCUGUCGAGGGGGA
Molecule: ribosomal RNA, 440 nt
Filed under: uncultured bacterium
Lineage: Bacteria
Description: bacterial SSU rRNA
Rfam family: Bacterial small subunit ribosomal RNA
Source: RNAcentral